Small nuclear RNA from Tachyglossus aculeatus (Australian echidna), 126 nucleotides. Lineage: Eukaryota; Metazoa; Chordata; Mammalia; Monotremata; Tachyglossidae. The record is from RefSeq and is a predicted model, not a curated record.
UGGCUGUAGGAAAGGACAGAAGAUUAGCAUUCUCCUGGAGAGGGAUGGAGAAGCUCUCAGUGGCCUUUACAGCACAUAUACAGGCAAGGCAUGGCCACAUAUUCCAUAACCUCUCAACAUGGUUUU